RNAcentral lists this small RNA (77 nucleotides) under Flavobacterium sp. 123. RNAcentral describes it as "Flavo-1 RNA". It matches the Rfam family "Flavo-1 RNA". The record is from Rfam by way of RNAcentral. Lineage: Bacteria; Pseudomonadati; Bacteroidota; Flavobacteriia; Flavobacteriales; Flavobacteriaceae.
UUUUAGCCCCGAUGGAAGUGGCAUCCUUUUUUGAGGUUUUUACCGAAAAAAAGAUAUAACGUACAGCGGGAAAUAGC